RNAcentral lists this ribosomal RNA (753 nucleotides) under uncultured bacterium. RNAcentral's name for it is "bacterial SSU rRNA". It matches the Rfam family "Bacterial small subunit ribosomal RNA", at positions 629 to 1383 of the family's 1533-position model. The record is from RNAcentral.
UGAACUGGGUGNCUAGAGUGUGUCAGAGGGAGGUAGANUUCCACGUGUAGCAGUGAAAUGCGUAGAGAUGUGGAGGAAUACCGAUGGCGAAGGCAGCNUCCUGGGAUAACACUGACGUUCAUGCCCGAAAGCGUGGGUAGCAAACAGGAUUAGAUACCNUGGUAGUCCACGCCCUAAACGAUGUCGAUUAGCUGUUGGGCAGCAUGACUGCUUAGUAGCGAAGCUAACGCGUGAAAUCGACCGCCUGGGGAGUACGGUCGCAAGAUUAAAACUCAAAGGAAUUGACGGGGACCCGCACAAGCGGUGGAUGAUNNNGAUUAAUUCGAUGCAACGCGAAGAACCUUACCUGGUCUUGACAUGUACGGAACCCUCCAGAGACGGAGGGGUGCCUUCGGGAGCCGUAACACAGGUGCUGCAUGGCUGUCGUCAGCUCGUGUCGUGAGAUGUUGGGUUAAGUCCNGCAACGAGCGCAACCCUUGUCAUUAGUUGCCAUCAUUAAGUUGGGCACUCUAAUGAGACUGCCGGUGACAAGCCGGAGGAAGGUGGGGAUGACGUCAAGUCCUCAUGGCCCUUAUGACCAGGGCUUCACACGUCAUACAAUGGUCGGUACAGAGGGUAGCCAAGCCGCGAGGUGGAGCCAAUCUCACAAAACCGAUCGUAGUCCGGAUUGCACUCUGCAACUCGAGNGCAUGAAGUCGGAAUCGCUAGUAAUCGCAGGUCAGCAUACUGCGGUGAAUACGUUCCCGGGUCUNG